GACAGAGGGUGCAAACGUUGUUCGGAAUUACUGGGCGUAAAGCGAGUGUAGGCGGUUUGAUAAGUCGGAUGUGAAAGCCCCGGGCUCAACCCGGGAAGUGCACUCGAUACUGUCAAGCUAGAGUACUGGAGAGGUUGGUGGAAUUCUCGGUGUAGAGGUAAAAUUCGUAGAUAUCGAGAGGAACACCGGUGGCGAAGGCGGCCAACUGGACAGAUACGUGACGCUGAGGAGCGAAAGCGUGGGUAGCAAACAGG
Molecule: ribosomal RNA, 254 nt
Filed under: uncultured bacterium
Lineage: Bacteria
Description: partial 16S ribosomal RNA
Rfam family: Bacterial small subunit ribosomal RNA
Source: RNAcentral